This 87-nucleotide transfer RNA is filed under the name Desulfuromonadales bacterium GWD2_54_10. RNAcentral describes it as "tRNA-Leu". It matches the Rfam family "tRNA". From Rfam's summary of the family: Transfer RNA (tRNA) molecules are approximately 80 nucleotides in length. Their secondary structure includes four short double-helical elements and three loops (D, anti-codon, and T loops). Further hydrogen bonds mediate the characteristic L-shaped molecular structure. tRNAs have two regions of fundamental functional importance: the anti-codon, which is responsible for specific mRNA codon recognition, and the 3' end, to which the tRNAs corresponding amino acid is attached (by aminoacyl-tRNA synthetases). tRNAs cope with the degeneracy of the genetic code in two manners: having more than one tRNA (with a specific anti-codon) for a particular amino acid; and 'wobble' base-pairing, i.e. permitting non-standard base-pairing at the 3rd anti-codon position. RNAcentral also lists the same sequence under 6 other names. The record is from RNAcentral. Lineage: Bacteria; Pseudomonadati; Thermodesulfobacteriota; Desulfuromonadia; Desulfuromonadales.
GCCGGAGUGGUGAAAUUGGUAGACGCACUGGACUCAAAAUCCAGCGCCCGCAAGGGCAUGCCGGUUCGACCCCGGCCUCCGGCACCA